AUCUAAGAAGCAAAAAACCUAGGGGGGAAAUCUGGUCCAAAAAUUCCAUAGAUUCGAGCGAUGGGGUGGGCAACAUGGUUCCUAGCGGCGGUGUGCUUCUUUGCUGCGAGCCAACUCUUCGUCUCUGAUGCUCUUGAUUCCCCCUUCGGCGUAGGCUCCGUCACCUCCGCCAAGCUGGCUCAUGUCCUCUCCUUUGCCACUUUCUGGGGCGCCGCCCUCUAGCCAACCUUCAUUAGCGCCAUCAUAAUGUUCAGGAACCUAUUGAGGCACAUUCGACAACCUGUAGAGCAAGCUGUUCCUAGCUGACUUCACGCUUGCAGGAGAUUUGGCAUUCAAGAGUAAUUCAGUUCUGGAAGCAUAUGAAGUCUGAGAUACAGAAGGAUUCCUUUCGAAACAUUUAUGGAUAUGAGUGCUAACCUUGACAGAUUUGCAGCAUCUUUGAAGAAAAAGGAUGGUUGGGUUAUGAAUAUAUUCCCUUUUACAGAAUAAGGAAGCUAAAUAUUAUAUAUGAUCAUGGUUUAAUGGGGACUGCCCAUGAUUGGUAAGAUUCUCCUGGCAAUCACAAAACUAGGCUAACCUCGACACAUGGUAAGCACCAAUUGCAAAACUGCAUUUUUACAAAGUUGUUUUGUAGCACUAAAUUUUCUGUACCUUUUCAUCUCAGAGCUACUAUUAAUUUCAUAACAAUCCCAUUGUGCUCUCAUGUUGCAGAACUAUUCUCCUGGCAAUUUGUAUAACGAACUAUGUUUUUUUUCAUCAUUCUAUGUCUCAAGCUCCACUUUGUAAUGUGUAGGUUUGUGAAAUGGGAUGAUGACAUAAGUUUAGGUUUUGAUACAAAUUCUUUAAGAGGUCUAUUUUCUGAUUUAAAAUGACAAUGGACGUAGUUUACAUAAUUCAAAAUAUAGUUGUGAUACAGAAGAGCAAACGAACAUUGUAUUUUUGUGAAAUAAGUUUCCAAAUGUGUUGGCCAUAUUUUUUACAUUAUAGAAUAGUUCUGUAAAAAAUACUCGCUUGUUUUCACCUAAUGCCUUUUUGUGGUUCUACUUUUUUUUUCUUUUGCACACUGAUCAGUUUAUUUAUGUAGUUUAAUUCACAGAAUUCCUAUAUAUCUUCCCAAGUGAAUCUUGGGCUUGGAGUUCAAGGAUCAAGUAUUACCUCAUCUACAACACCAUAAUUUUGAGUCCCCAGUUCUGCAGAAAUAUAAAUGAUGGCUUAUUUAAUUACUUUCAGAUGGCAAAAGAAAUUGCAUUGCUUGAGGUAUUUUAUCACAUAUAGUUGUUUUUCGUGCAUUGAGAAUUUACACCUAUAUGUGCAGAUGAUAUAUGGGCAUAUAAAUGUGAAGAACAACAAAUUUUGGCUGAAGAUGUUGGUGUCGAAUCUUUUAUGACAACAGGAGAAAAUAAACAAGCAAGUGAAGAUGACCCAAAGAUUCUAUAUUCGUUGGUAUUGUCCUUCUGGGCUACUCUUUUUGCUACUGAGGUGCAAAGUGAAUCCAAGUGGAAGCAAUUAGGGGAGUUAGCUAUGUCAAAUGGAAAGGUACAGCUAUCGGGUCUAUCAUUUAUCUUGCAUGCACAAUGCCACAGUCUGCAUUGUCAUAUGUUGAUGUCCAGUUAUUUUUUAUAAAAGAUGUUUGUUUUCAAUGAACUAACAAAUAUAGUUUCAAUGUUCCAUUAUUAUUUUCGAAUAAAGAGAUAUUUUGUUUUCGUUAGUUAUUACAUGACACUGUAGACGUCAUGUUUAUUGUAUCAACCCGCUUUUACAUUUUGUGGGUCAUUGUGUCGAGGAGCAGAAUUUUUUGGGGGAGGGAAAAAGCUACCCUAGCAGGGUCUGGCCGGUUUCCUUUUCAGUUGGGGGGGUCUUCAGGCUCGGAGAUAAAUAGGUUUGAUCAAAGCACUCCAGUCCAUUAUUCAUAUUCGUUCACACAAGAUUAAUAGGUUGACCGUUUUUUUUGUUAAUUCCUUGAUGUUUAUUUUAUUUUAGCAGUUUACAUAUUUGGUUUGCUGCUUAGUCAUUUGAAGGUAAUGUUUCAAGCAUAUGGCAUAUUUCUAAGUUCUGGCCUUGUUUAUUAUAUUAUUAGUGCCCUUGUUUAUUAUUGUUUCUUACUGGUUUGGGAUGAAUCUGUGCUUUCUCAGGUUAGGAAACUGGAGGCGUACAUCAUCAGUUAUUGGUACAAGAAAGGGCACAGACCAAUAGAGCAUCCUUUGCUCCCAGAUGCAAGAAGAAUAGUGAAGUUUGACCUAUAUGAUGACUCAGUUUCAACCAGAAUAUAAUGUAAUGAUGUAUCUUGCACCUGCUCAUCAGAGAGUGAGAUCUGUUGUUUGUAGCUUAGUAGAAGAUUACAAGGGAGAAACAUAUGAUGUGUAGAGAUUUGCUGUCUCUCUCUUUCACUCUCGUAGAAUGCAAUUUUUCAGGGAAACUUAAAUUUAUAUCCUUUUCUAGCCCGUGGA
Molecule: long non-coding RNA, 2447 nt
Organism: Zea mays
Lineage: Eukaryota; Viridiplantae; Streptophyta; Magnoliopsida; Poales; Poaceae
Exons: 3
Source: RefSeq, a predicted model, not a curated record